GACGAACGCUGGCGGCGUGCCUAAUACAUGCAAGUAGAACGCUGAAGAGAGGAGCUUACUCUUCUUGGAUGAGUUGCGAACGGGUGAGUAACGCGUAGGUAACCUGCCUUGUAGCGGGGGAUAACUAUUGGAAACGAUAGCUAAUACCGCAUAACAAUGGAUGACACAUGUCAUUUAUUUGAAAGGGGCAAUUGCUCCACUACAAGAUGGACCUGCGUUGUAUUAGCUAGUAGGUGAGGUAAUGGCUCACCUAGGCGACGAUACAUAGCCGACCUGAGAGGGUGAUCGGCCACACUGGGACUGAGACACGGCCCAGACUCCUACGGGAGGCAGCAGUAGGGAAUCUUCGGCAAUGGGGGCAACCCUGACCGAGCAACGCCGCGUGAGUGAAGAAGGUUUUCGGAACGUAAAGCUCUGUUGUAAGUCAAGAACGGGUGUGAGAGUGGAAAGUUCACACUGUGACGGUAGCUUACCAGAAAGGGACGGCUAACUACGUG
This 497-nucleotide ribosomal RNA is filed under the name uncultured bacterium. RNAcentral describes it as "partial 16S ribosomal RNA". It matches the Rfam family "Bacterial small subunit ribosomal RNA", at positions 28 to 507 of the family's 1533-position model. The record is from RNAcentral.